UGGGGAAUAUUGGACAAUGGGCGCAAGCCUGAUCCAGCCAUGCCGCGUGAGUGACGAAGGCCUUAGGGUUGUAAAGCUCUUUUGGCGGGGAAGAUAAUGACGGUACCCGCAGAAUAAGCUCCGGCUAACUUCGUGCCAGCAGCCGCGGUAAUACGAAGGGAGCUAGCGUUGUUCGGAAUCACUGGGCGUAAAGCGCACGUAGGUGGGCAGUUAAGUCAGGGGUGAAAGCCCGAGGCUCAACCUCGGAAUUGCCUCUGAUACUGGCUGUCUAGAGUCCGAGAGAGGUGGGUGGAAUUCCUAGUGUAGAGGUGAAAUUCGUAGAUAUUAGGAAGAACACCGGUGGCGAAGGCGGCCCACUGGCUCGGUACUGACACUGAGGUGCGAAAGCGUGGGGAGCAAACAGGAUUAGAUACCCUAGUAGUCCCUGAGCGGGCUGGCAAGGCGCAU
This 447-nucleotide ribosomal RNA is filed under the name uncultured bacterium. RNAcentral describes it as "bacterial SSU rRNA". It matches the Rfam family "Bacterial small subunit ribosomal RNA", at positions 355 to 825 of the family's 1533-position model. The record is from RNAcentral.